RNAcentral lists this ribosomal RNA (660 nucleotides) under uncultured bacterium. Its description in RNAcentral is "bacterial SSU rRNA". It matches the Rfam family "Bacterial small subunit ribosomal RNA", at positions 28 to 730 of the family's 1533-position model. The record is from RNAcentral.
AACGAACGCUGGCGGCAGGCCUAACACAUGCAAGUCGAACGCCGUAGCAAUACGGAGUGGCAGACGGGUGAGUAACACGUGGGAACGUGCCCAAAGGUACGGAACAACUCCGGGAAACUGGAGCUAAUACCGUAUGUGCCCGAGAGGGGAAAGAUUUAUCGCCUUUGGAUCGGCCCGCGUCUGAUUAGCUUGUUGGUGAGGUAACGGCUCACCAAGGCGACGAUCAGUAGCUGGUCUGAGAGGAUGACCAGCCACACUGGGACUGAGACACGGCCCAGACUCCUACGGGAGGCAGCAGUGGGGAAUAUUGGACAAUGGGCGCAAGCCUGAUCCAGCCAUGCCGCGUGAGUGAUGAAGGCCCUAGGGUUGUAAAGCUCCUUCGCCAGGGACGAUAAUGACGGUACCUGGAUAAGAAGCCCCGGCUAACUUCGUGCCAGCAGCCGCGGUAAUACGAAGGGGGCUAGCGUUGUUCGGAAUCACUGGGCGUAAAGCGUAUGCAGGCGGAUCGUUUAAGGUGAGGGGCUGAAAUCCCGAGGCUCAACCUCGGAACUGCCUUUCAUACUGGCGAUCUUGGAGUCCGGGAGAGGUGAGUGGAACUGCGAGUGUAGAGGUGAAAUUCGUAGAUAUUCGCAAGAACACCAGUGGCGAAGGCGGCUCACU